GGGAGGCCGGGAGGGGUCCCUGGGCGGGGAGUUGCUGCGCAUCUGUUGUGUGUGUGCGUCUGUCUGUCUGUUCAGGUCUGUUUCAGACUACGUCUGCCUGUCUGUCCAGGUCUGUUUUAGGCUGUGUCUGUCUGUCUGUCUGGGUCUGUUUCAGGCUGUGUCUGUCUGUCUGUCCGGGUCUGUUUCAGGCUGUGUCUGGGUCUGUUUCAGGCUGUGUCUGUCUGUCUGUCUGGGUCUGUUUCAGGCUGUUUCUGUCUGUCUGUCCGGAUCUGUUUCAGGCUGUGUCUGGGUCUGUUUCAGGCUGUCUGUCUGUCUGUCUGGGUCUGUUUCAGGCUGUAUGUGUGUCUGCUCUUUGCUUCUGCUCCUGGCUCUGUGUGUAUUUCCCGGGUCCUGUGG
RNAcentral lists this long non-coding RNA (396 nucleotides) under Homo sapiens (human). Its description in RNAcentral is "HSALNT0395736". The record is from RNAcentral. Lineage: Eukaryota; Metazoa; Chordata; Mammalia; Primates; Hominidae.